UCCCAUUCCCCCCACCCCCACCCCACCACUCCCCACUAUGAUUUAGCGGCUGGCAUCCGGCGAUGCGGGGGUGGCGCGACUGCCGUAGCUAGGCUGCGGGGAGGGCGGUUGCCAGCGAGCACCAGGCUGCGACCCAACAGGAUGGCGACGACUGCCGGCCGGCGAUGUGGGGGAUGGCGCGAGUGCGGUGUCUAGGCAUCGGGGAGGGCGGCAGCCGGCAGGCACCUGACUGCGGCCCAGCAGGAUGGCGGCGGCCGACAGAGGCCGCCCGUGAGCACGCGUCGUCGGGAAGCUCCACGGCAGCUCGUCCGCAUCUGGUUGUUCUGCAUCUCGGGCCGGUUCCGACGAGCAUGGAGCCACCACUGGCCCCUGCACCUCCAUGUCUCCAGCCACCCGCCGGUCGCCCUCCUCCUCAGCUCUGCUGCCGCCAGCGCUUGCGUCGUCGGAGCGAAGAGUGGGGGGUCCUUGGCUCGCCGGCGCCGCCCAACCACCACGGGCGCGAAGAUGGUGUACUGCUGCUCGAGAUAUGGACCCGUGGAGAGAAACGCGCUUCACCGGCCAUAUCCGAGGCUUCUCCUCUAAGUGCUACAUUGACGGUUUGCCUCCGGUACUGAAUCUUCAGCGGCAAGGAGUUUGAGUUCGUGGGGCUCGCGCUCAGCUCCGAUAUUAGGGAAAGGUACCAAUCGCUAUGGUUCAAAACAAAUGGUUGUGCCUGUUACCUAAUCAGAUCAGGCUCUGACUGAAGCUACUCCAGUAUGCCCCAUGUUGUGUUUACUCAACAUCACAACAAGUAUUUUGUCUAUGCAUCAUGACAUUUUCUGUUUUUUAUACACAAAUUUGCCAUGUUUUUUUUAA
This is a long non-coding RNA of Aegilops tauschii subsp. strangulata, 855 nucleotides long. RefSeq lists it as uncharacterized. The record is from RefSeq and is a predicted model, not a curated record. NCBI's taxonomy places the organism in Eukaryota, Viridiplantae, Streptophyta, Magnoliopsida, Poales, Poaceae.